This 73-nucleotide transfer RNA is filed under the name Loxodonta africana (African savanna elephant). It matches the Rfam family "tRNA". Rfam says of the family: Transfer RNA (tRNA) molecules are approximately 80 nucleotides in length. Their secondary structure includes four short double-helical elements and three loops (D, anti-codon, and T loops). Lineage: Eukaryota; Metazoa; Chordata; Mammalia; Proboscidea; Elephantidae. The record is from Rfam by way of RNAcentral.
GGUUGCAUGGCAUAGUGGUUAGCAUAUCUGCUUUACAUGCAGAAGAUCCUAGGUUUGAUCCCCAGUGGAGCCA